UGGCGGGCUAGCCCGGGUAACUCGGCGUUUCCUGUAACCCGAAACCGUCGACAGCGGGGGGCGAAGCCUGAGGAAGAAGUUUUGACUGUUGCCCAACACGCAGGUUCUACUGUGAAACCCCGUCCUAUGGGGCUGGCGCUGGUACAUCGGUUUUCCUGAAGGAAGGUUGAUGUAUCUUAAUCGCGGACAAAGGUCCAGGCCCGGAAGGGAGCAAACCAGCCGUGAACAACUAUCGCUCAUGGGGUUGCGGGGCGGAGGCGAGUCUGCGGACCACUGGACAGCGGAAGGAGCUACGACCGAAGGCGUGCUCGCUA
This 314-nucleotide signal recognition particle RNA is filed under the name Methanobacteriota archaeon. RNAcentral's name for it is "Euryarchaeota archaeon (groundwater metagenome) signal recognition particle sRNA". It matches the Rfam family "Archaeal signal recognition particle RNA". The record is from RNAcentral. Lineage: Archaea; Methanobacteriati; Methanobacteriota.